GACCAGUGAAGUAUCCCUGGAGAAUGCGCGGCAAGGGGACCACAGUAUGUUCAUAAUCGGGGCCGGUGUACCGUUGCUCUUCAAUGAAGAUUGUCCGAGGUUUUCCUACAGCUUUCCUAUUGAGUAAUUCACAUUAGAUAUGUACUUACAAAAAACUGGCUGACAAUCUGAAUUGGUUAUAAAAACAUUUACACAUCAUGUUGCUUUUUACUUAGUGAAAAAAAUGUGACGCAAAAUUUUGUAAUUGAUAUUAUUCAUGAGUCGAAUGUAUUUGAUAUUUCACGGUCAAAUGGUGAGACUCGGAAUUUGAUCUUCUGCAAUGACGAAAUUUAAUUCCAAGUAUUCUCACGCACUUAGAAUGUGAGUUACAUGUGAAAGUGAACAAAACAAGUGGUCUUUUUUUUAUUUUUAAUGAAAAAUUUUUAUUUCUUUAUUACUUUUUAUGGGCAUAAACACCUUUAAAAGCGUGUUGAGAAAGUUAGUAAGAUGUUCUUGAUAAAAAAUAGAGUGACAAACUAUGAACGAAUUGUAAUCAUCAAAUCAAUGGUUAACUAGGCCAUUCAUGUUAUGGAAAAUUACUAUUAUAUCCAUGUGAAAUUCAAGGUUGUAAAAAAGAUGACUGAACACAAAUUGAGAAUCGCAGACGUGCUAGAGACUAUUGAAUCAAAGUUGGCUUAUGUUCCUGGUGGAAGAGAUAGAGAAGGAAAGCCUAUACUUAUCGUAAAUAUUCCUACAGAGUUUCCAGAUGACUCAAUUACAAAUAUUAAAUUGGAAAAACUUAUUCGUUAUCUCCUAUCCAUUUUCAACGAUGCAUCGAGGCGAAAUGGAAUUUGUCUGAUAGUAGACGCAAGGAAAGGAUCUUGGCGAGAAACCAGAUCCUACAUCAGAAGGACUAUCAAUGCAGUGGGAAAAUAUGCAGCUCGCACAAUUGUAAUUCGAUCUGAUGGCUUUUGGGAGAAAAGAGUCGACAACUGCACAAAGUCCUGGAAGAAUGGAGAGCCAACAUACAUAUCUCUUACUAGAUUGAAUACAUAUGUAGAUUCAACUCAGAUUAGUAGUGAUUUAGGGGGAAUAAAGUACUAUGAUCACGCUGAGUGGAUUCAAAUACGAAUAAGAGUUGAAGAGUUUGAAAGAGAUGCUACAGAUUUGAUUAAUAAAUUAACCGAUCUCGAACAUAAAUUAAAAGACUACGAUAAAAUUAUUAGAAAGAAAGAACAAGAAAAAGCUAUAGAUUAUUAUUGGGAGAUUAGAGAAGAUUUAGAGUUGGUCGGUCGUUAUAUUUUACAUUCAGGAAGAGUAUUAGCAAGCAAUAUGAGUAUAGAAACUUCUCAGGAUUUUCAGGAUACUGUUAAUAACAUUCAUGAUAUUCUAGACGUGCUAGAAUCCAAGCAAACGAAAGUUGAAGACAUCUGGAGUCGUAUGACAACGAAUUUAAAUUUAAUGAAAGAAAUAAGUGAACUUGAGGAUGGUGUGGCAGAAGUUACAAACUGGAUUCUCGGUCCUGCAGAUGCAAUGCUAAAUUUUCACUGCAACGUAGGCUUUGAUGUUACGUCUUCUGAGAAUUUACGACGAGAACAUGAAGAAUUAGAAUUAGAAUGUCGGGAAACUUAUGGGAGAUAUGCUAAAAUCCUUCAUCGAAUUGAAAGCAUACCCGAAGAUUGUUUGACAGCAGAUCUCAAGUCUCAAAGAGAUUUCAUGGAUUUUGUGUGUAGAAGUUUCGCAGCCAGAUUAGAAAGGCGGAGAAAUGUUUUAAUUACUUGUCAAAGAUUUUUUCGUCUUGUAUCUGAAUAUUUCGAUAAAACCAGUGAAGUCUUCGAUAAAUUAAUCAUGGGAAAUAGAAACUGUAAUUUUUCUGAAGCAGAAGAAAAACUUAAGCACUUAGAAAGUAGCCAAUCAGACUUGGAAAAGCUUUUAAAAGAGUUAAUAAAAGGAGGCGAAAAGUUAUCAGACAUUCUAUUAAUGCCAGUUAAAGAUGCUCUAGGUCGAGAUUUAGAUAUUAAUUAUGGAGAAGAUAUAGCUAAUGUAAGAGACAUUCUAGAUGCUACGAAGGCUCGAAAAAAUAUUUUCAAUGACUCUAUGGAGUUACAAAAACUCACAUUAAAGCAAAUUAUUCUGAUUAAUGCGUAUGAAACUGAUGCCGAGCAAACGGUCAGGUGGCUUGUUGAACUUUAUAAAAGCUUGAUAGAAAAUCAUAUUGAUAUUGGUUGUAAUGCUAAUGAAAUUCAAUUACAAAGAGAAGAACUCCAGACUUUUCAAGAAACAGCACAGGGAACAUUUGAUUACGGUUGCCAACUAUUAAGUGGAGCACGAGUACUACGAAUUUCUUGCAGAUUGAGUUUAGAUUGCAAUACGAGCUUAUUCUCCCAACUACGAAAAGCUUGGCGGCAGCUCUGCUCAGUGACUCAGGAACAACUGACUAGGCUUAGAGUUUGUACAGUCUUUCACAGAAGUGUCUAUGAGCAUUGCAGUGCUCUAGAUGAUUUAAUUAGUACUGUUAGAACUUCAACAUCAAAUGUUAAACAAUCUGGAAAUGAGUUUCUACAAUCUUCAAAUUUUUGGACAGAAUUCUUAAAAGGAAUCUUGGAAAAUCGAGAAAAACUUUUGGUUAAUGUUGGAAGAACAGUUAGACUGGGGCGUCUGUUACGAACAAGAUUGAAAGAACCGUUAUACUCUCAAAUAAGCAGAAUGUUUAGUUUAGAAGAAGGAGAGGCAUCGCCAGAGCCAAGAAAUUUAUCUGCCAUCGAUGCAAUUUCUGAACGGCUUGCUGAAGUUACACGUCUUGCAGAAAAAUUAGAUGCGCGUUUGUAUGAAGCAGGAGCAAAAACACGAAUACCAAAAGAUGAUAAGGAAAAUCUUAAAGAGAAAAAAGAUAUUCCUUCUAAAGAAAUUAGUGAAGGAACAAAAGAAAUAUUGUCAGAAUCUGAAGAAAUUCGUACUGAAGAAUAUGUAACUGCUACAGAAUGUUCAGAAACACCGGUAGCAAGGUCUCGGAGCGAAUCAUUUGUUACCAUGUCAGAAUAUGAAGAUGAGAAUUCUGACGUUCGUAGAUUGGUCGAGAUUGAAGAGCACCAGGAGAAAAAGAUAUCUGAGUCUUUAGUAUCGACUGAUACCUUUGAGAAAGUUCAUGAUCCGAUCAUGAAUAAAAAUUCUAAUGUAAUUGUUGAUAUUAACCAGAAUGUUGAUGAUAAAGCGAACGUAAUAUCUAUUAUUGAAUCAAUUGAGGAAAAAGGAGGUAAAGUAGUCAAAGAAGUUACAGAAGUAACUACAUUGAGAGUCUCCCACGACACCAAGUUUGGAGUUGCUUCGUAUCAGCUCAUGUCCAAUACUGUUACGGAGAACAAAGAAGUCAAAAGUACCGAAGGAAUUCUUGAUGCAAGUCAUCAGUCACAAACAAAUCAUAAAAAUAAUCUUUCCGAUGAAAAAAAAGAUGCUUCCAAUUAUUCUAGAGAAGAAAUAACGAUCUCAGAAGUUGAGAAAAAAACUCCAGAAUUGGAAGACAGUCAUGCUUCUGAAAGUAGUCUAUCAAGAAUUGUAAAAGAAUCGUGUGAAUGUAAUAGUAAGAAUUUAAUAAACGUAAAAAAAAUAAAAUUCUUGGAAACGAAAGGUAAUGAUGACAGUGGAAUCGAAAUCACCGCAAAACAUGAUGAACAAAUAGAAAUAACUGAUGUAGAAGAAAGAGAAUUUUUUGAAAAGUUUCAAACGAGUGGAGAAUGGCUAAGGUUGAAAGUUCUGGAAGUGUACCCAGAACUGACAAGAUUAGGAACAACAGUUGAGGAAGCAAAAAAUUUGUCGGCUGCACAUGAUGAAGUUCUCGUACGUCUUCAAAGCAAACAGAGUCCAGUCGAAGAAUUAUUGAGACAAGCAGAUCAACUAAUUUCAACUCAAAGACCUCGUGCUGAAGUUUAUGCUGCUAUGGCUGAGAGUCUGGGUCAAACAUGGGCUAACGUUAAUUCUCUUCUAGAACUUCAAAAACAAAUUUUAGAUCAUAAUGUUCUUUUUCAAGGUCAAGCUGAGGAUUUCAAAGCCAACGCUAAAGCAUUAGAAAAAACUUGCAUUGAUACACUGUUGCCAAUAGAAAUAGAAGUAGUUAAAAAAUUCAUAAAUAGAAUUCAUGAUUUAAGAAAAACAAUGUUGAGUUCUUUAAUGGGAGCUUUACAAGAAGGCCGAACACUUUUGGAUUGCUUGAAAGAAAUAUCUAAUGAAGGAACACUUGAUUCAAGACCUGAUAAAAUAAAGGCUGAUGCCGAGAGUGCUGUUUUUCAAGUGGAAAAAUGGUUAGAAGAGCUUCACGACCAAAGAACGCGAAUAGAAUUAUUAUUUACAAAUAGAAAAAAUCAACUGGAACAAUGUUUAGCUUUAGCAUUACUCGCUACAGAUCUUCGAGAUCUUGAAGAAAUUUUAACUGAUAGAAUCACUGCUCUUGGGGCUAGUAGCGGUCAAUUAGGAGACUCUUCUUCAAGUGCAGAGCUGUUAUUAUUUGAGUUGAAAAAACUCCAAGCAGAAGCUAAAAAUCUUCAAGAUCGAGCCUUAAAAAUUACUAAAUCGACAGAAAAAUUUGUUUCAUCGAAACAUUUUGCUGGAGAACAAGCAACUGAGCAAGCAUAUGAAAUAUUAGCCACAGCAACAGAUUAUAUUAACGAUUUAGAACAAUAUGAAGGUCUUUUGAACAGAGCAAUACCAUUUUUUGAUUCAGCUAGAUCGGCAUUUACAAAAUUAGAUCAACUUGAAAUUCAACUAGCGACAACAGAUUAUCCACUAUAUUCAACUCCACUAGCUCGUUUCCAUGCCCAAGCUUCAACUAUGCUGACGGAAGUCAUUACUAGUCCUUUGGCAGAAGGUUAUGCUUUGCUCGAUGUUACGGGAAGAGGAGCGCCCAAUGCAGAUGGAAUUAGAAGAACUGUAGAAGAAUUAGAGAACAGAAAAAUUAGUCUUUUAGAACGUUGUACGGCUCAUAAAGAAGAGAACUUGAGGAUAUCUAGAGGAUUGGCUAUUUUCUUCGAAAAGUACGAUGAAUUAAGAUCAUGGCUUAGUGGAAUAGCCAAUGCAUUUCUUCGAGGUCAUCAAGAUAUGGGAAGUGAUCUUCCAAUGGCUAAAGAUUUUUAUAAAAUCCACUGUCAGCUAUUAGAGGACUUAAGUAAACGUGGAGAUGAGAUUGAUGAAGCUCUAGCAAUUUUAUCAGGAACGAUCAUAGAAAUUGUUGAUGAAAGACAACGAUCCGCUCAAAAAAAGAAUAUUGAAGAUCGGGUAGAUGAGUUAAGAGAUUCAUGGCUUGAUUGUAGACACACGGUUGAAGCUAGAGUAAAUCUGAGUGCUCUUUAUGUCGAUUUUCAUGAAACUGCUGUAAUCUUAAGUAAAGACGUUGAUGAAAUUGAAAGUGAAUUCAAGAAAAGUACUGACAGUCUGCAAGAGAGUAUGAUUAAUAGAUUAGAGCAAAAAUGGAGCGAACUUCAACCAUUAUACAUGAAACUUACGAAUUAUGGAGCUAAAUUUUUAGCCGAAGCUGAUAUAUGCACUGAUGCGUACUUGGACAUCCCGCGUGCUCGACUCUGCGUGGAAACGACCUUGGAGCGUUUCGCCAACAAGCAACUGACCGUAACGGAAUCUUGGGAGAACUGGCAAACUUCUGUUGUAACGACGAGAGAGCAGAGAAUUGAACAGGAAAAACAAAUUGAAGAAACUACGAGAACACUAACGUGGGCUUCUAAGUUUGGAGAACAAUUGUAUCCUAUCAUGACAUCUGAGUCUAUAAAACCGUCAGUUGUCUUUCAAGAUCUUAAAAGCACUAAACUGGGUAUCCUACCGGAGUUAAAGAGAGCUGUAAGUGAGCUAGAUGUCAGGAUUAAAAGUGUUGAAAACUUCUCUAUUGGAGAUGAAAAAACGAACGAGCGAGCCAAAGGACAAAUUCUACGUGUUUAUGAACAUCUUCGAACAACUUCUACCAAUUAUCAAAUCCUUUUAGAAUCUCUGAUAUCAAUUUUCCAAAAUUUUGUUCAAAUUGAAAAUAAAACAGAUGAGAUACACGAAAUUCAAUAUGAAUUGGAGAAGUCGACGGCUGGAUUUUUAUCAGAAUCUAGUCGAAAUGAUAUUCGAUUUAAAGUCGAGGUUGUAAAAAAAAUCCACGAAUCAAUUGUCGACAUCUUAAAAAGCCUUGAGCCCACGAUUGAUCGAGUGAUAUCGAUAAUCGAAGUACAAGAACCACCUUCGGCUGCUAAAAAAGAAAUUGAAAAAUUAAAUCAGAUUUUUAAAGCAGUUUCUAUAUCAUUCGAAACAUCGUGCGCAGAAACUCAAUUAAAAUUAAGUAAACGUUUACUUUUUUGCAAUUUUGCUGAUGAUUUGGAUCGUAUCGAUGUUGAUCUUCAGUAUCUUAGUAAGCAAUUAGGUGGAAGUACUGAGACUGGAUAUCGCUUUGCUGGAGAUUCUUUGCCAUCUGCAGAAGCAGCUGCAUUAGCAUUCAUUGAAUUUGAAAAGACUAUUACAGUUUUAGAAGAUAGAAUAAAAAUAUUUAUUAAAAAAACUGAAGAUAAUUUUGAGUUAACCAGUCCGGAUUUAGCUCCUGUCGUUCAUCGUGAAUUAUCGAAGCUUCAAGAGCGAUGGAAUCAAUUAAAAUCAUUAUCACAAAGUACUCAAAAGCGAAUAAAUUUAAGUAUUGAGUAUUUUAAGCUUCUAGAGGAAGCUAAGAACUGGUCUCGAGACGGAAAUAAAUUGCUAAUAGUAAUAGCAAGAAAAACAUCAGCAAUAAAGACCCCAGACGAAGUAGAAGCAUGUUUAGAAGAUAUUGAUAAGUUUUUAAAGCCUGGGGAAGAAAUUCAAGAAAAUAGAAUUAAAAGAAUUCGAGAAUUUUCUACGAAAAUUUUUGGCACUGAUCGAUUACCACAAUUCAAUGAAGUUGUUGUUGAAAAUAGAGAAACAUUAGAUUCGUUCGCCGUGAUAGCAUCAGAGUUGAAAACUCUAGUCCAGAAUCUGAAAAAUUCUGUAGAUAUUCUUGAAGAAAAACAGAAAGAAAAAGAACGAGAUGAUGAAACAUUACGACAAUUAAAUAUUGCUAGAAUUGAAGCACGGGCAGCAUAUGAAGCAGAAAUAGAAGAAAAAAGAAUCAAUGCUGAAAUGGAGAAAAGAAAAAAAUAUGAGCAUGCAUUAAAAAGUUCAGUCUCUACUCCAACUGAAAAACAACAUACGAUUGUGGAAGAAACCGUAACUUCCGCCAAUACCACUAAGGAGAUUCGGAUUUUACAAAAGACUGCGGUGGAAGAAAGUUUACCGGUUCUAGUACCAUCACUGCCACACGUUCAUAAGCAAGUAGAUGAAUCUAAAGAGAUAAAGGUAGUGAAGGAACUUGUUUUGACUCAAGCACCCAGGUUUAUCAUACCUUUAAAUGAUUCUACCGUUGAAGAAGGUAAUCGAUUUAUCUUUGAGUGUAAAUUAGAAAAUGGAAAACCAAAGCCUGAAAUAGUGUGGUACAAAGAUGGAAUUUCAAUUUUAAAUAAUCCUGAUUAUUUACCGAGUUAUGAUGAAGAAACUAGUGUCUGUUCAUUGACUAUUGAAGAAACAUUUGCUGAAGACUCUGCUAGAUUUGCUUGCAAGGUCUCCAAUACUGCUGGAGUCGUUGAAACAGGAGCUGUUCUUAAUAUCAAAAAAGCUACUACAGAUCAGCAGUUAAGUCCUCCAGCCUUCAUAAAAGGAUUAGAGCCUUCUAUAGCGAAAAAAGGAUCACAUCAUUUUUUAUCCUGCACUGUAACAGGAAAUCCUCUACCAACAGUUCAAUGGUUCAAAGAUGAUAUAAAUAUCGACGAUUCUCCAGACUAUGUAAUUACUUACAACAAUGGAGAGGCAGUGUUGAAAUUCUUAGAAAUAUUAUCCGAUGAUAAAACUGUUUAUACUUGUACAGCUACAAAUAAAUUAGGACAAGCAUCGACCUCAGCGAAUUUAGAAGUACAAGAGGGGAAGGAAGUAGAAGUGAUUCAAACCAACGGUAUCUCUAGUUUAUCUCCAGAACCUGAUGAAGACAGUAAAGAAAUAUUAAGUUCGAAGGUCAGUUUUAUCAAGGAGCACAGGAUAAUUGAAGAAUCUCAUAUUAUUAAGAUUGAAAGCCACACGGAGGAGAUGGGAGGGAGAUUGAGUCAAGUUAAACCUGAUGCUUCAGCACAGGAAAUCAUUGCAUCCAAGACUGAAGUUGUUCCGGUGAAAAUUGAAACAUUAGAAAAAAGUUCAGCGAUGCCCGAGUAUUAUCAUAUUCCUGAAUUUAUUCAACCAAGUGUGCAAUUACCUCUUAAAGAUGUGCAAGUUUUUGAAGGAAAAACAGUGAGACUUGACUGUAUAAUUAUUGGACAGCCUGAGCCUGAAGUAAUCUGGUAUCAUGAUGAUCAGCCAGUCAAAGAAUCUGCAGAUUUCCAAUUACUAUUUCAAGGUGACAGAUGUUCGCUCAUAAUUCAAGAAGCUUUUCUUGAUGAUGCCGGAAAAUAUAAAGUUGUUGCUAUCAAUAGCAAAGGAAAAGCUUCAAGUGAAUGCAUUUUAUCUGUAAUUCCGGUUUCUGACGCUGCCAAAAAAUCUACAGAAAGCUCUUCUCCGCAAUUUUUAAAAUUAAUAUCCGACGUGAUAGUAUUAGAAGGUGAAGAUGCUAUCUUUGAAUGUCAAGUGAUAGGAGAGCCAAAACCAGAUUUGAGAUGGUAUUUUAAUAACGAAGAAAUUAUGUUUAUGCAAGAGAGAAUUACAAUGACACAUGAUGAGUCGGGAAAUUGCUCACUAAAAAUUUGCACAACAACGACUGAAGAUAAAGGAAAUUAUGUAGCAAAAGCUACAAAUCUUUUCGGAGAAGCAAAAGCAAUAGCUCGAUUAGUAGUAAAUUCAUCAAGCAAUGAUGUAUAUAAACGCGAAGAAUUAAUUACAGUAGAAGAAAAUUUAAUCCCACCAUAUUUUGAAGAUAAGUUUGAAGAAAAUCGAAUCGUCUCAGUGGGAAAUUCAACCACAUUUGAAUGCGUAGUCCGGGGAAAGCCAGCGCCAAAGAUUCAUUGGUUAUUCAAGAAUAAACCUGUGUUUGGAAAAAAUUUCCUAGUAUCUGGAUGUGGUGAAAGACAAAUUCUGACCAUACCAGAAACAAGUCAAGAACACGUGGGUUCAAUCUCGUGUGUGGCUGAAAACUCAGUGGGAAAGGCAACGUGUACUGCACAACUUGAAGUCAGAGGUGAAGAGACUCAGGUGACGGUGAAAGGGGUGGAGGACGUUGAAGUAGAUUUGGUAGCGAACAAACCCGAUAUGCAAGCUUCAAGCAGUAGUGAGAAACACUUCACAACAGAAAGGAGAGUGUCACCAGGCGACCAAGUGGAUGAGAGUGUUCUCACUAAAAUGUCGUCCUCAAUUACUCAGUCUUCAACAACAAGGUCUAGUUGUACUAAGGAAUUCAAAUCUUCUACCACAUCAAGCAUUGUUGAACCUCAAUUCCGAUCUGGACCAAACAAUUUUAUUACAAAAUCUCACGUUGAAAGCAGAGAGUACAGUAGCCAACAGAAUGGAGGUCCACCAGUUGUUCAGAGUCAAAAAAUCGAAGAGUUUGAAAAAAUUAUUCAAGACACGCCCGGACAAGUACAGCAAGAGAGAACAAAGAUUAUUACAGAAGGAACAACUACUCCAAGAAUGCAAAAACCAGCGAGAAAAAAUAUUGCUCCAAGAUUUGUAACACCUGUGACAGGAAUGAUUGUAGAUCAAGGCAGUGAUGUGAUUUUAGAAGGAAUAAUUGAUGGUUUUCCACAACCAACAAUUACUUGGUCGAAGAAUGGUCAAGAUUUGAAAGAUAACGUCAAAGCAACUUUUGAGCACAAUCAUGUUCGUCUUGAAUUAAAAAAUGUUAAUGUCAAAGAUGCUGGAAGAUAUACUUGUACAGCAGUUAAUGAUGUUGGCAAUGCCAGUAGUACGGCAGAUCUUGUUGUAAAGAAGACAAUUUUUCCACCUGUUUUUGGCAAACGUCUUCAAGCGCAAGUAGCGAAGAAAGGUGAGCGAGUAAUUAUGGAAGUAGAAAUAACAGGAACACCAGAACCUACUGUUACAUGGUAUAAAAACGAUGAACCUUUGAUGGAUGUUGACGGACAAUUGAAACAGCUUGGCAAUUGUUACUUGUUAAUUAUUGAUGCAGCUGAAAAACGACAUGCUGGUAAAUAUAUGGUUCACGCAACAAAUGCUGGAGGAGAAGCUCAAAGUAUUGCAGAUUUUGCUGUCUUCGAACCAACCCCGGAUACUAUGGUCGAAGUGCAUAAAACAAUUGUUUAUGAAAAUGUUGGUGACAAAAAUAUAAAGUUGGAAGAAAAAAAGAGUGAGUUACCUUCAGCAGCGUUAACUGCAGAGCAUAUUGCAACAACCACAAUUCAGCCAAGUUCAACAUUAAAAACUUUAAUUCCACCUUCCUCUUCCUCAUCUAAAUCCUCUCACAUUCGAAAAAUUGAAGUAAUAGAACCUAAGAGCUCACAUAAAACAGAGGAGUCAAUGAUAGAAAAAGCAAGUCGAUCUGAAUAUAUUUCUUCAACGAUUGAGUCUCAUCAAAGUGAAACAAAAUCAGAACAAAAAUUCCAUAUGAAACUUCAACAUCAAACACCUCUCCUAUUCGAUUCUGAAACACUCACGGCACCUUCGGAACCUACGAUAACGACAAAAACAACGAAAAUUAGUACAGAAGAAACCCAAAGUGGUGGACAACCAGUCUCAUCGAAGACAACAGAAUAUAUGGAGACAUCGAAAAGCGAAGGAGGAAGGGUUGAAGAAAAUGAGUAUGUUGAAACCUCAACAAUUGCUAAAAAAGAUGCUCUUAGUUUCUUUGAAUCAAUAUCCAAAGAAAGUGAAUCUACUCCAAAAGGUCCAAAAGCAAUGAUUAAGCUUACAGAAAAUGAAGAUGGAAACUAUGAUGUCAAAGUAAAUAAAUUAACAAAAAAUUACGAGCGAUCGACUACGUUUCAUGAAACAAAAAAGGCAGCUGAUAUGCCAUCAAAAAAAUCAGUCCAAGAUAUUUCUAAUAAAUUUGAAACUCCAAUUAUUACAAAAGGUGUAGAUAACGUUAUGAUUGAUUUUCCAUAUGAACAAUAUAAACUUCCAGCUUUAAAUAUUCAGAGAACCGUAUUGGAAGAUACUACAGCAUCAGGAUCACCAAUUCAUGGUACUUUAACUAUUUCGAAACUUGUAGCACAGUCAGAAAGUGCAGAACAAAUGCUUUCAGGAUUUAAUUUAGUACCAGAACCUCCACCAGAAAUUGGCUAUAUGCCCAAGCCUGAAGAAGAAUUAAAAAAACGUACAGAUAUUUCAUUUAAAGCUAAACAGCUCGAAGAAUGUCAGAAAAAAACAGUUGAUGCACCAAUAGGUGGUGUAAAAAUUUUCCCCACAUCACCAGAGAAGCAAGCUCCUGUUCCAGAAGUAAAAAAACCGGAAAUGAAAUCUAUAAAUAUUCCUCCACCAUUCGAAUUAAGCCAAACUAAAGAAUUUGCACGAAAAGAAGUCGUUGAAGAGAAAUGUAUUAAAAGAGACGUUCAUAAGAAAAAUGAUAUUAAAAUGUCAACAUAUAGUCCAGCUCCCUCAUCUCCACCUAAAUCAGAGCAGAAUGAAAAGUGGUGGUCAUCUACAUCAGAUUUAGAAACUCGUUCACAUGUUUCAACAGAUUUAUCCGAAUAUCGAUGUCAAUCCGGAGCUUCUAGUCAUUUUGAAGGUCGUGCGACGUCUCCCAAACCAUCUGCGGAUGGUUUAGCGAUGGAAAAAUCAUGGGCAAAAUCAAAAACUAGUGAGUCUAAUCGAAAAUCUUGGCCACCACCAGCCUCUGAUAAUAAAGAAACAACGAAAUGCUUUACUAAGAAAGAAGAGUGGAAAGAACCUGAGAUGGGUUUCAAAACAUCCACGCAUGAAAAACGUCAAGAAAUGGAAGAAAUACCUGGUGGAGGAUUUACAAAAACUAACAUUGAAUCUUCGACGAGCUUAGAAUCUCGUUCAUGGAGUACUCGUGAAAACCAUAUAGAACAAAAAAUUACAGAAAAACCAUCAGAACCCGCUCUACCAAAAUCAAUCAUCAAACUAGCAAAAGCUCCAUCUCCACCGAAGCAAGCUCCAGUAACAAUGUAUAAAGCAGAAACAACUAAAGUUGACCAUAUUGUGAAUUCUGUACAAGAAAAAUCAUUAAUUGAGAAGUAUUCAUCUGAAUGUGAAAUAAAAAAAAUGGAAAGUUCAGAAAAAUUCAGUUCGUACGAAGAACUAAAAGCUCCUGGAUUAGUGAAAGCUGUACCGAUUCCGAAAGUACAACUUUAUCAUGCUAUUGGAGAAGCUCCAAAAAUGGAAUCUGAAAAUAUAAAAUCAUUUAAAGAAUCAACUUCAAUGUUUAAAGGAUCUUUAGCAACAGCUCCCAAACAUCCCGUUGUUCAAUUAUACCACUCAAUACCAGAAAUGUCUAAACAGAAUGAAAUCAUUCUUGAACCUGGAACGCCACCAGAAAUUGGUUAUGUUCCUCCAUCUCCAAUUUGUGAAAAAAAGAUUGAAAAAGUUGAAAAAGCAUUGGAAAUGUCUUUAAAAUCACAACCAGCUCAAAUUCCACCACGUGCAAUCCGUACCAUUCCACCGCCAAUUCCACCAAAAGAUGUAAGAGAAACUCCGCCACCGUUACCAGCAAAAAAAUUAGAACCAUUUUCUUCUGGAUCUGCUCAAUCAUAUGAAAAAUCUUCUUCAAUGUGUAAAUAUAUAAAAAGUCAAAUGAUUGAAUCAGAUUAUGAAUCAGAUUUUGAGUCCUGCCGAUCUAAAUUUCAAUCUUAUGAAAGUGAAGAAGAGCCUAAAUAUAGACAUGUUGAGCCACCAACGCCAAGACCACCACGACCUAAAUCAUCAGAACCUGAACCACUUCCUCCUUCGCGUUUUGAAGUUCCUUCUUCAGAUGUCACAGGACCACCCAGACCAACUGUAACUUCAAUUUAUCCAUCAGAAUCGUCUUGUAAGCAGACAUCAACAAUGAUAAAUAGGACUGAAAAAAUGAUGAAACAACAACAUUAUCAAAACAAAGAAUGUUCACAAGAGCCUAUUUUGAAACCAGGUUCUCCGCCAAUUUAUGUGCAUCCUAAUCAAAAUUUAACUUCAAAGUCUCUACCAAUGAAAUGUAUAAAACCAGAGUCCCCUAAAUUUAAAGUUAAAAGCUUCAAACAAGAAAGUGGAUAUAUGGCAGAUACUGAUGAGCCUUUUCAUCAACGAGAAGGAACUUCAAACACCUUUGAGUCUAAACAAUUUAUGGAGAGUAAAAGUUAUAUGAGCUCUUCAUCUUCAUGUCAAAAAAAAGAAGAAUCCUUAUUUUCGUCUAGUCCUCAUCCUCAAUCUACUACUCCCAAGCAACAAAUUCAAAAAAGUUUUUGUGAAAAAAAUUACAUGUCAUCGACCUGUCCAAGAGGUCUUAAAAGUGAUAAGACGGAAUCAUGCUAUUCAUGGCAAAGUCAAACAAGUUCAGCUCCAAGUCCAUCCAGAUUCGCACGUGGCGAAUUCAGAGAAAGUGACUAUGAGAGUGAUUAUGAUGGACGAAUUCCACCCCUUUGGAAACCACGGAGUGAAUCUGAUAUAGAAGAUCACUCCCAUAAACCUAUGAAGUCCAAUCUUGCAGGGAAACCAAUAAAACCGGCAGUCAGUGUGACUGAAACGGAAGCAGCAAAAAAGGAGUAUGAAAGGACGGAAGAGAAAAAAACCUUUUAUCAAAAAGAAGAUAAAAAAAUUCCACAAUCAACCCCUAAACCAAUUGCUGUGCGUCAAAAAUCUGUUCUUCUUCCUGGAUCUCCACCAGAACUCGCUUUUGCUCCUCCUCGACCUUGUCAGGGAUAUGAAGGUUACUCAGGGAUGCCAUAUCAUAAUGUAAUUGGAACAGAAUUAAAAAAAACGAUGAGGAUGGAUGAAUCAACCGAAAAUAGUAGACGAGUUGUGACUGUUGAGCAAACCAGUAGAGUCAUAAAGUUUGGAGAAGAUCAAAAAUUGAAUCAACAAUCACAAACAUGUUCAACGCCAAAAUAUAAGGUACCGACACCAACCAAGUUUAUUCAAGGUCAAUUCAGAGAAUCUGAUUAUGAGAGUGACAUAGAUACAGGAAAAAUAAAACCUAAAUGGACACCAGCAGAAAGUGAUACUGAUGAUCCAUGUUAUAAAAAAGUUCAACCACCAAAAUUCAGAUCUUCAAGUGUUCCUCCACCACAAGAAAUACGUGAACGAGUUGUUACUCCAAUGGAGUUUGAUAAUCCUCCUAUUAUGGCAUCUCAUACUCAAAGUUUUGAACAACAUCUUCGAAAGUUAAAUGAAGAAAGUGAGAAAUUGAAAACAGUUAAAAAACAAAAUUACAAUUACCACACUUUACCAAUGGAGAAGAAAGAAGAAUGCAAAAGGAGUGUUGAGAGCUUUGGAGACUUUGAAUAUUUCACGAAGGAUAUGAAGAAAGCUGCAAAUCACGUAGCUUCAAAACACAUGAUGGAUAUGACAAGCAGCUUCAAGGCAAAGACUGAAAAAUUUGUCCAAGACAUCCAGUCUGAUCUUAAGCAGCAGAGUAAGCCAAUUUUAAAACAUUCUGAUAAACGUCAUCUUGAAUCGUGUAAUGAUCCUCAAGCUUAUCGUGAAGAAAAAAGGAUGGCGCAAUAUGGAACUAAACACAUUGAUCCGGAUACGGGCCUGAUCUACUUCAAGUAUGACUUUGGCUACGAGUUCGGCAUUGUAUUACCUGGGGAAGGAAAGAAGACUAUUGCCAGUAAUAGUAAAACCAUCCAAGGUCAACGACGAGCAAGUGAUAUAGAUAUCCCAAUUGUUCAUGAAUUUACAAGUCGUCAGGAGAAUGCAUUUUCUAGAGCAUCAUGGCAAAAUCAUCACCAAAAUCAACCUAAAAGUCCAGGAAAUAAAUACUCAAGUAGUUUAAAAACUGUAAAAUGGGAGCCAACAUCAGAGAGUGAAUUUUCGGAAGCUGAAGACUCGAUUAGAAGGAAGAAAAGAGGAAUGAUACCAUCCCCACCAAGUCUCUUUAUUUCUUCAAGUCCAAGUUUUCCAAAGUGGGAUCCGAGAACGCCAUCACCAAUUUCUCUCAGCCCUAGUCUUCCUAGCUUUUCGCCUAAACACUCCAGUGCUACUACAGGACCUCCUAGCAACGUUGACUCCAUUGCAGUGAGGGAACGCAGAAAAAAUCGUGGCUCAACGGUUGCUCGGGAUUUCUGAUUGUCUUCCCCCGGGAUAAUCACCAUGGCCAAGUAGCAACGGAGUUUCUUGUCCUAAAGAAGUUAUUCAACCUUACCUUGAUAUAUUGCCAAAGAAAGCUCCAUUUUUUAUAACACCAUUGAGAGAUAUUGCAGUUGUCAGUGGCCAAACAGCA
This 15328-nucleotide unclassified non-coding RNA is filed under the name Chelonus insularis. RNAcentral describes it as "uncharacterized LOC118074224, transcript variant X5". The record is from RNAcentral. Lineage: Eukaryota; Metazoa; Arthropoda; Insecta; Hymenoptera; Braconidae.